CAGCAGCCACGGUAAUACGAAGGGUGCAAGCGUUAAUCGGAAUUACUGGGCGUAAAGCGUGCGUAGGCGGUGAGUUAAGUCUGCUGUGAAAUCCUUGGGCUCAACCUGGGAAUGGCAGUGGAUACUGGCAAGCUAGAGUGUGUCAGAGGAUGGUGGAAUUCCCGGUGUAGCGGUGAAAUGCGUAGAGAUCGGGAGGAACAUCAGUGGCGAAGGCGGCCAUCUGGGACAACACUGACGCUGAGGCACGAAAGCGUGGGGAGCAAACAGGAUUAGAUACCCCCGUAGUCCCUGUCUCUUAUAC
RNAcentral lists this ribosomal RNA (301 nucleotides) under uncultured bacterium. Its description in RNAcentral is "partial 16S ribosomal RNA". It matches the Rfam family "Bacterial small subunit ribosomal RNA", at positions 509 to 807 of the family's 1533-position model. The record is from RNAcentral.